Ictidomys tridecemlineatus (thirteen-lined ground squirrel) is the source of this 997-nucleotide non-coding RNA. Lineage: Eukaryota; Metazoa; Chordata; Mammalia; Rodentia; Sciuridae. The record is from RefSeq and is a predicted model, not a curated record.
ACCUCCCAAGCUGCUGGGAUUACAGGCCUGCGCCAUUGCACCCGGCUAUAAAUUUUUCCUUUGUUAAGUAUGUUGUAGUCUAUAAACUGACACUAAAGGAAAUGCUGGUGAAUGAAUCUGUUGAUUAUUUAUUAAGAUGAUAAUUUUGUCUUAUGUUUUAUUUGUUGAUCUGACCUUAUUUAUUGUGAAAUAGUUAAAAUUUGUGCAUGAACCCACCCUUACUGGUAAUCCUGGUCCCCUCAGUGGCAUGGGACGCAGAGGUCCUCUUAUCUGAAGAGUUUGAGGCCCUUCCAUGUGGCAGACUUCAGAACCCCUGCCCUGUUCUCUUGAUCGGAAUCCUGGCAUCCUUCCGAAACUGCCUAAAGCCCUGUCCUUCGGGAAACACCACCUUUGACCACUUUUAUUUCCAAAUAUUUUGAAGCCUGAGUUCUAGGCUUUUACUUGGAGAAUUAGUAUUCUUUGGCUUCAAGAAGCACAGAGGGAGACAUAAAGAGUAACAGAACAAUAAUGAAUAAAUACUGAAACCAGGCACUGACAGGGCUUGUGGGAACACAAGGGAACACCUAAUCACAGAGUUGCUGGGGUCUGUUAAGGCCAUUUCUGUACUGAAAGGAGCCUUGAAUCCCCAGCCAUCCUGGGCACUUCCUAGGUGAGAGUGGGUACACCAAUAUGAGAAACAACUUGUUCUUUGCCUAAAGAUAAGUCUGGUUUUGUCCUUGAUUGGGCUGGUUUUAAGGACUGAAGUGAGAGUUCCAACAGAAAAUGAAAUGUGGCAACUGUGGUGAGAUUUCAGAGAAAUGGCAGUACCUCCGGCUUAUGGAUAGUGUGGAACUGAAGGGAGGCCGUCACAGUGUCUCCAUGGUCCAGAAGUGCAAGCUAUGUGCACGGGAAAACUCAAUAGCUAUUUUGAGAAGCACCAUCCAAUCUUACAAUGUAAGUUUGCUGCUAUAGUGGGAGAUGUGGUGGGUUUAAAUCUAAACUGGGAGCUAGGAGGCCU